AGGGGAGCAAUCCCCGAGUAAAGCGGCGAACGGGUGAGUAACACGUGGGCAAUCUGCCUGGGAGCGGGGGAUAACCUGGGGAAACUCGGGCUAAUACCGCAUACGACCGCGGGGUCACGGCUCCGCGAGGAAAGCUGGCCUCUACUUGUAAGCUAGCGCUCCCAGAGGAGCCCGCGGCUGAUUAGCUAGUUGGUGAGGUAACGGCCCACCAAGGCGACGAUCAGUAGCCGGCCUGAGAGGGUGAUCGGCCACACUGGAACUGAGACACGGUCCAGACUCCUACGGGAGGCAGCAGUGGGGAAUAUUGGACAAUGGGGGCAACCCUGAUCCAGCAACGCCGCGUGGAGGAUGAAGGCCUUCGGGUUGUAAACUCCUGUCAGGAGGGGCGAAAGGCCGGUGGCGAACAGUCACCGGCUCUGACGGUACCUCCAGAGGAAGCCCCGGCUAACUCUGUGCCAGCAGCCGCGGUAAUACAGAGGGGGCGAGCGUUAUUCGGAAUUAUUGGGCGUAAAGGGCGCGUAGGCGGCUUGGCAAGUCAAAGGUGAAAUCCCUCGGCUCAACCGAGGAACUGCCUUUGAAACUGCCUCGCUCGAGGCCGGGAGAGGGUAGUGGAAUUCCCAGUGUAGCGGUGA
RNAcentral lists this ribosomal RNA (632 nucleotides) under uncultured Actinomycetales bacterium. RNAcentral describes it as "bacterial SSU rRNA". It matches the Rfam family "Bacterial small subunit ribosomal RNA", at positions 73 to 684 of the family's 1533-position model. Lineage: Bacteria; Bacillati; Actinomycetota; Actinomycetes; Actinomycetales. The record is from RNAcentral.